AUUCGACAUCCUUGGGAAAAAUCGGAUGGGAAAUCGUACAGUGUUCCCUGAUUAUUUUUUAUGAUAAAUGAAGAACUUCUGUUUUAAAAUACUUAAAUCUGUGGAUAACUGUCAAAAAUGUAGACCUCAAAUAACUGUUCAAUCGAGACAAAAUACACCCGAUUUCUUACAAAAUUUAAAAUCUUGACCGGGGAAAUUAUCAAAGAUAACGUAUCGGUUAUUUUUUAAAUUUUAAUUCCAAG
RNAcentral lists this long non-coding RNA (242 nucleotides) under Mytilus galloprovincialis (Mediterranean mussel). The record is from RNAcentral. Lineage: Eukaryota; Metazoa; Mollusca; Bivalvia; Mytilida; Mytilidae.